RNAcentral lists this ribosomal RNA (1402 nucleotides) under Anomala nigroflava. RNAcentral describes it as "eukaryotic LSU rRNA". It matches the Rfam family "Eukaryotic large subunit ribosomal RNA", at positions 666 to 1872 of the family's 3401-position model. The record is from RNAcentral. Lineage: Eukaryota; Metazoa; Arthropoda; Insecta; Coleoptera; Scarabaeidae.
CCAAGGAGUCUAGCAUGUGCGCGAUUCAUUGGGACUCUAACGAAACCUAAAGGCGCAAUGAAAGUGAAGGUUCGCCACGCGCGAACCGAGGGAGGAUGGACGGUCGUUCGUGGCCGUCCCGCACUCCCUGGGCGUCUCGUUCUCAUCGCGAGAAGAGGCGCACCAAGAGCGUACACGCUGGGACCCGAAAGAUGGUGAACUAUGCCUGGUCAGGACGAAGUCAGGGGAAACCCUGAUGGAGGUCCGUAGCGAUUCUGACGUGCAAAUCGAUCGUCGGAACUGGGUAUAGGGGCGAAAGACUAAUCGAACCAUCUAGUAGCUGGUUCCCUCCGAAGUUUCCCUCAGGAUAGCUGGCGCUCGCUUCUCGCGAGUCUCAUUCGGUAAAGCGAAUGAUUAGAGGCAUUGGGGUCGAAACGGCCUCAACCUAUUCUCAAACUUUAAAUGGGUGAGAUCUCCGGCUUGCUUGAACUGUGAAGCCGCGAGAUAUCGGAUCAGAGUGCCAAGUGGGCCACUUUUGGUAAGCAGAACUGGCGCUGUGGGAUGAACCAAACGCCGAGUUAAAGCGCCUAAAUCGACGCUUAUGGGAUACCAUGAAAGGCGUUGGUAACUUAAGACAGCAGGACGGUGGCCAUGGAAGUCGGAAUCCGCCAAGGAGUGUGUAACAACUCACCUGCCGAAGUUACUAGCCCUGAAAAUGGAUGGCGCUGAAGCGUCGUGCUUAUACUCUGCCGUCAGCGGCAUGUGAGACGGCCCUUAUGAGGUCGUCAUGAAGCCCUGACGAGUAGGAGGGUCGCGGCGGUGAGCGCAGAAGGACCAGGCGCGAGCCAGUCUGGAGCCGCCGUCGGUGCAGAUCUUGGUGGUAGUAGCAAAUACUCCAGCGAGGCCCUGGAGGACUGACGUGGAGAAGGGUUUCGUGUGAACAGCCGUUGCACACGAGUCAGUCGAUCCUAAGCCAUAGGCGAAAGCCGAUGUCGAUGCGGUGUAUCUUUCAGUGUCUGUAUGCUGCGCGCGCUAGCUAGCUGCUGCUCUUGUGUGUAGCUUAUGCUGCUGCCGCUGCUGUUAAGGCGGAGAGACUCACACCCGUCGGGCGAAAGGGAAUCCGGUUCCUAUUCCGGAACCCGGCAGCGGAACCGUUAUUAAGUCGUGCCCUCAUUCAGAGAGUUCGUCGGGGCAACCCAAAAGGACCUGGACACGCCGUCGGGAGAUCCGGGAAGAGUUUUCUUUUCUGCAUAAGCGCUCGAGUUCCAUGGAAUCCUCUAGCAGGGAGAUAUGGUUUGGAGCGCGAAGAGCACCGCAGUUGCGGCGGUGUCCGGAUCUUCCCCUCGGACCUUGAAAAUCCAGGAGAGGGCCACGUGGAGGCGUCGCGCCGGUUCGUACCCAUAUCCGCAGCAGGUCUCCAAGG